GAUGAACGCUGGCGGCGUGCCUAAUACAUGCAAGUCGAGCGAACAGACGAGGAGCUUGCUCCUCUGAUGUUAGCGGCGGACGGGUGAGUAACACGUGGGUAACCUACCUAUAAGACUGGGAUAACUUCGGGAAACCGGAGCUAAUACCGGAUAACAUGUGGAACCGCAUGGUUCAACAGUGAAAGACGGUCUUGCUGUCACUUAUAGAUGGAUCCGCGCCGCAUUAGCUAGUUGGUAAGGUAACGGCUUACCAAGGCAACGAUGCGUAGCCGACCUGAGAGGGUGAUCGGCCACACUGGAACUGAGACACGGUCCAGACUCCUACGGGAGGCAGCAGUAGGGAAUCUUCCGCAAUGGGCGAAAGCCUGACGGAGCAACGCCGCGUGAGUGAAGAAGGUUUUCGGAUCGUAAAACUCUGUUAUUAGGGAAGAACAAAUGUGUAAGUAACUAUGCACGUCUUGACGGUACCUAAUCAGAAAGCCACGGCUAACUACGUG
Molecule: ribosomal RNA, 497 nt
Filed under: uncultured bacterium
Lineage: Bacteria
Description: partial 16S ribosomal RNA
Rfam family: Bacterial small subunit ribosomal RNA
Source: RNAcentral